UACGGGGGGAGCAAGCGUUGUUCGGAUUUACUGGGCGUAAAGGGCGCGUAGGCGGCUCAACAAGUCACUUGUGAAAUCUCCGGGCUUAACUCGGAACGGUCAAGUGAUACUGUUGUGCUAGAGUGCGGAAGGGGCAACUGGAAUUCUCGGUGUAGCGGUGAAAUGCGUAGAUAUCGAGAGGAACACCUGCGGCGAAGGCGGGUUGCUGGGCCGACACUGACGCUGAUGCGCGAAAGCCAGGGGAGCGAACGGG
This 253-nucleotide ribosomal RNA is filed under the name uncultured bacterium. Its description in RNAcentral is "partial 16S ribosomal RNA". It matches the Rfam family "Bacterial small subunit ribosomal RNA", at positions 524 to 776 of the family's 1533-position model. The record is from RNAcentral.